Molecule: unclassified non-coding RNA, 159 nt
Filed under: cotton phyllosphere bacterium D
Lineage: Bacteria
Description: 16S-23S ribosomal RNA intergenic spacer
Source: RNAcentral
AACGUCCCUUACGGGACAUGCCCAUCGUUCAGUUUUGAGAGCUCGUCUCUCACGUCUCGCAAGAGACACUCGCACCUUGAAAACUGAAGACAUCAACAAGACAUCAAACUUUUAAUUAACCAUGUCAUUUAAGACGUGUGUUCUUAGAAUACCAACGCU